Long non-coding RNA from Cygnus atratus (black swan), 509 nucleotides. RefSeq lists it as uncharacterized. The transcript is spliced from 2 exons. The record is from RefSeq and is a predicted model, not a curated record. NCBI's taxonomy places the organism in Eukaryota, Metazoa, Chordata, Aves, Anseriformes, Anatidae.
CAAGAAAACGAAUACCUGGCCCUCUCCUGGAGGAUGCUGGAGCACUUCAUCAACUACGUACAGCACUGCUGAAGAGGCAGAAAGAAGUGAGUGCUCCAAGAAAUCAUCUUGUUUGUGUGCUGGUCCCACAGAGCCCCAGCUGAGCCUCCUGCAGUGCCGUGCACUCUCUGGAUGGAGUGUCACCUACCAAGGAUGCAGCAAAUGCAUGCACAAGGAAGCUUUAAAAUAUGGCAGGGCAUCAUUAUUGACGUAGAAAGACUAAUGGUGAUGUUGUUCCCUGUAGCCUGCAAGAGAUGAAUGUGUCUGUUUAAAGCUCUCGGGCUCUGAGCUCCUCGAAGUAUCCUUCCUUAAUGCUGAUGGGUAAAUCCAUACCUAAGCGUGCUGUAAUUUGUUGCGAGUAGCCUCUUCUCUCCCCUUUGGGUAUUCCUGUGCUCAUAUCUUUGCCGUCAAAGACAGAACUUCCUUAAUCUUUCUUCCUUCUUCAUUAAAUUCACAGCUUUGGUAAUUUA